RNAcentral lists this ribosomal RNA (415 nucleotides) under uncultured archaeon. Its description in RNAcentral is "bacterial SSU rRNA". It matches the Rfam family "Bacterial small subunit ribosomal RNA", at positions 509 to 926 of the family's 1533-position model. The record is from RNAcentral.
CAGCCGCCGCGGUAAUACCGACGGUGCAAGCGUUAUCCGGAUUCACUGGGUUUAAAGGGUGCGUAGGCGGGUAGGUAAGUCAGUGGUGAAAUCCUGGAGCUCAACUCCAGAACUGCCAUUGAUACUAUCUGUCUUGAAUAUUGUGGAGGUAAGCGGAAUAUGUCAUGUAACGGUGAAAUGCUUAGAUAUGACAUAGAACACCCAUUGCGAAGGCAGCUUACUACGCAUAUAUUGACGCUGAGGCACGAAAGCGUGGGGAUCAAACAGGAUUAGAUACCCUGGUAGUCCACGCCCUAAACUAUGGAUACUCGACAUACCCGAUACACUGUGUGUGUCUGAGCGAAAGCAUUAAGUAUCCCACCUGGGAACUACGUUCGCCAGAAUGAAACUCAAAGGAAUUGGCGGGGGAGCACAG